This 389-nucleotide ribosomal RNA is filed under the name Haptolina sp. RNAcentral's name for it is "partial small subunit ribosomal RNA". It matches the Rfam family "Eukaryotic small subunit ribosomal RNA", at positions 582 to 975 of the family's 1831-position model. Lineage: Eukaryota; Haptophyta; Prymnesiales; Prymnesiaceae. The record is from RNAcentral.
AUUCCAGCUCCAAUAGCGUAUAUUAAAGUUGUUGCAGUUAAAACGCUCGUAGUCGGAUUUCGGGGCCUGCCUGCCGGUCUGCCGAUGGGUAUGCACUGGCAGGCGCGUCCUUCCUUCCGGAGACUGUCCCUACUCUUAACUGAGCGGGGUCGGGAGACGGAUCGUUUACUUUGAAAAAAUCAGAGUGUUUCAAGCAGGCAGCUCGCUCUUGCAUGGAUUAGCAUGGGAUAAUGAAAUAGGACUUUGGUGCUAUUUUGUUGGUUUCGAACACCGAAGUAAUGAUUAACAGGGACAGUCAGGGGCACUCGUAUUCCGCCGAGAGAGGUGAAAUUCUCAGACCAGCGGAAGACGAACCACUGCGAAAGCAUUUGCCAGGGAUGUUUUCAUUG